UCCGGUUGAUCCUGCCGGACCCCACUGCUAUCGGGGUGGGACUAAGACAUGCUAGUCGUGCGCCUCCAAGCCACGGUGGAGGCGCGGCGCACAGCUCAGUAACACGUGGCUAACCUACCCUUGGGACAGGGACAACCCCGGGAAACUGGGGCUAAUCCCCGAUAGGUGAGGACUCCUGGAAUGGGUCCUCGCUGAAAGGGCGUCUAGACCAUGCUUCUAGACGCUGCCCAAGGAUGGGGCCGCGGCCGAUCAGGUUGUUGGUGAGGUAACGGCUCACCAGGCCUAAGACCGGUACGGGCCGUGAGAGCGGGAGCCCGGAGAUGGACACUGAGACAAGGGUCCAGGCCCUACGGGGCGCAGCAGUCGCGAAACCUCCGCAAUACGCGAAAGCGUGACGGGGCCACCCCGAGUGCCGUCCGCUGAGGACGGCUUUUCCCCAGUGUAGACAGCUGGGGGAAUAAGGGGAGGGCAAGUCGGGUGUCAGCCGCCGCGGUAAUACCCGCUCCCCGAGUGGUGGGGACGCUUAUUGGGCCUAAAGCAUCCGUAGCCGGCUGGACAAGUCCCCUGUUAAAUCCAGCGAUUUAAUCGCUGGACUGCGGGGGAUACUGUCCAGCUAGGGGGCGGGAGAGGCCGGCGGUAUUCCCGGGGUAGGGGUGAAAUCUUAUAAUCCCGGGAGGACCACCAGUGGCGAAGGCUGCCGGCUGGAACGCGCCCGACGGUGAGGGAUGAAAGCUGGGGGAGCGAACCGGAUUAGAUACCCGGGUAGUCCCAGCUGUAAACGAUGCGGGCUAGGUGUUGGCACGGCUACAAGCCGUGUCAGUGCCGCAGGGAAGCCGUUAAGCCCGCCGCCUGGGGAGUACGGCCGCAAGGCUGAAACUUAAAGGAAUUGGCGGGGGAGCACCACAAGGGGUGAAGCUUGCGGUUUAAUUGGAGUCAACGCCGGA
RNAcentral lists this ribosomal RNA (944 nucleotides) under uncultured archaeon. RNAcentral describes it as "bacterial SSU rRNA". It matches the Rfam family "Archaeal small subunit ribosomal RNA", at positions 1 to 922 of the family's 1478-position model. The record is from RNAcentral.